UUAGCGCCAUUAACGAGCUGCCAGGGGUGGUUCUCCUUCGCCCCACCUCCCUUCGGUGCCGCCACGUCGCGUCGAGAACGUGUUGACAUUCGCGUCGCAUUGAUUUCCGACCCACUUCCUCUUUACUUCCUCUUCCUCUUUACUUCCUCUUCCUCUUUACUUCCUCUUCCUCUUUACUUCCUCUUCCUCUUUACUUCCUCUUCCUCUUUACUUUCUCUUCCUCUUUACUUCCUCUUUACUUCUGUUCCACUUCAUUUCCGCUUUAUUUCCUCUUCCUCUCCUCUUUAUUUCCACUUUUUUUCCUCUUUAUAUCUCCAUUUCCGCUCCAUUUUCUCUCUGUUUCCGUUCCAUUUCCGCUCUAUUUCCGCUCCAUUUCCUCUUCCGCUCCUCUUUAUUUCCAUUUUAUUUCCUCUUUAUAUCUCCAUUUCCGCUCUGCAUUCACUCUACUUCCACUCCAUUUCCUCUUUAUUUCCACUCCACUUCAGUUUAUUUCUGCUCCACUUCUGCUCCCCAUUCACUUCCACUCCACUUUAUUUCCUCUUUACUUCCACUUCACUUCUGCUUUAUUUCUGCCUUAUUUCCUUUUUAUCUGCACUUCCGCUCUGCAUUUGCUCUACUUCCGCUCCAUUUCCGUUCCACUUCAUUUCCGCUUUAUUUCCUCUUCCACUCCUCUUUUUUCCCACUUUAUUUCCUGUUUCUGUCUCCACUUCCGCUCUGCAUUCGUUCCACUUCCACUGUGUUUCCUCUUUAUUUCCUCUUUACUUCCACUUCCGCUCCGCUUCAUUUUUGCUUUAUUUCUUCCACUCCAUUUCCUCUCCGUUUCCACUUUAUUUCCUCUUUAUCUCCACUCCACUUCCGCUCUGCAUUCACUCCACUUUCACUAUUUCCUCUUUAUUUCCUCUUCACUUCCACUCCACUUUAUUUCAUCAUUUUUUUCUGCUCUGCUUCCACUCCAUUUUUUCUUUAUUUCCUCUUUAUUUCUCUUUCUGCUCCAUUUCUGCUCCGCGCUUGGUCCAGUUCCGCUCUAUUUCCUCUUUAUUUCCUCUUCCGCUCCACUUCUCCAUCUCAUUUCCGCUUCUUUUCCUCUUCAUUUCCACUUCCGCUCUUCUUCUGCUCCUCUUCCGCUCCUCUUUUUGCUCCACAUUUCCUUUUUUCACCUUUUUUGCCACAUUUCCUCCAUUUUGUCACCACGUUGACCUCACCUCAGCAUUUCCUCAGCAUUUCCUCAGCAUUUCCUCAGCAUUUCCUCAGCAUUUCCUCAGCAUUUCCUCAAAUUUUUCACCACUUUUCAGCCAUUUCCUCGACCUUUUCUCCACUUUUCAGCCAUUUCCUCGACCUUUUUUCACUUUUCAACCAUUUCCUCGACCUUUUCUCCACUUUUCAUCCGUUUCCUCCACCUUUUCCCCACAUUUCCUCCAUUUCCUCAACCUUUUCCUCACAUUUCCUCCAUUUCCUCAACCUUUUCCCCAUGUUUCAUCCAUUUCCUCAACCUUUUCUCCACAUUUCCUCCAUUUUAAUUCCAUGUUGACAUCACUAACAUUUUCACGACAUUUCCUCAACAUUUUCCCCACUUUUCCUCCAUUUCCUCAACCUUUUCCCCUCUUUUCCUCCAUUUCCUCGACCUUUUCCCCUCUUUUCCUCCAUUUCCUCGACCUUUUCCCNUCAUUUCCUCCAUUUCCUCGACCUUUUCCCCUCAUUUCCUCCAUUUCCUCAACCUUUUCCCCUCAUUUCCUCCAUUUCCUCAACCUUUUCCCCUCAUUUCCUCCAUUUCCUCAACCUUUUCCCCACAUUUCAUCCAUUUUAAUUCCAUGUUGACAUCGCCUCAACAUUUUCACAACAUUUCCUCAACAUUUUCUCCACUUUUCAUCCACUUUCCCAACAUUUUCUCCACAUUUCAUUCAUUUUCUCCUCCUUUUCCCCAUGUUUCAUUCAUUUUGAUGCCACGUUGACAUGAUGUUGACUUUUUCUCAACAUUUUUGACUCAUUUCCUCAAUAUUUUCUCCACAUUUCUUCUGUUUUCUCAAGCUUUUUUUCCUCAUUUCCUCCAUGUUGAUGCCACAUUGACAUCACCUCAACAUUUCCUCGACCUUUCCUCCACAUUUCCUCCAUUUCCUCGACCUUUUCCCCACUUUUCCUCCAUUUCCUCAAUCUUUUCCCCACAUUGCCUCCAUUUCCUCGACCUUUUUUCCACUUUUCCUCCAUUUCCUCGACCUUUUUUCCACUUUUCCUCCAUUUCCUCGACCUUUUUUCCACUUUUCCUCCAUUUCCUCGACCUUUUUAUCCACUUUUCAUCCAUUUCCUCAUCCUUUUCUCCGCAUUUCCUCCAUUUUCCUUGACCUUUUCUCCACUUUUCCUCCAUUUUGCCUCCACAUUGGCCUCACCUCAACGUUUCCAUGGCAUUUCCUCAAUAUUUUCUCCACAUUUCAUCCAUUUUCUCGGCCUUUUCUCCACAUUUCCUCCAUUUUGACUCCAUGUUGACAUCACCUCAACAUUUCCUCGACAUUUUCUCCUCAUUUCAUCCAUUUUCCUUGACCUUUUCUCCACAUUUCCUCCAUUUUGAGUCUGCGUUGACCUCACCUCAACGUUUCCUCAUUCUUUUCUCCCCAUUUCCUCCAUUUUCCUUGACCUUUUCUCCACGUUUUCUCCAUUUUGAGUCCAUGUUGACCCCACCUCAACAUUUUCAUCCAUUUUCUCAACGUUUUCUCCACGUUUCAUCCAUUUUCUCGUUCUUUCCUCUACAUUUUCUCCAUUUUGAGUCCACAUUGACCUCAACUCAACAUUUCCAUGACAUUUCCUCAACCUUUUCUCCACAUUU
This 2815-nucleotide long non-coding RNA is filed under the name Numida meleagris (helmeted guineafowl). Its description in RNAcentral is "lncRNA (ENSNMEG00000002627.1)". Lineage: Eukaryota; Metazoa; Chordata; Aves; Galliformes; Numididae. The record is from RNAcentral.